GCCCUCGUAUCCCAACUGGCACAGGAAACGGAUUCAAAAACCCGUCCAGUGUGAGUUCGAAUCUCACCGAGGGCACCA
RNAcentral lists this transfer RNA (78 nucleotides) under Mycobacterium riyadhense. Its description in RNAcentral is "tRNA-Leu". It matches the Rfam family "tRNA". From Rfam's summary of the family: Transfer RNA (tRNA) molecules are approximately 80 nucleotides in length. The record is from RNAcentral. Lineage: Bacteria; Bacillati; Actinomycetota; Actinomycetes; Mycobacteriales; Mycobacteriaceae.